UUGAUAUGACCCCUUGACUAUAGCCCAACCAUUUGUCUGAGCCUCUUGUUUAUAUAUAGAGUGUGAUGCUUGAUCAUUUGUGAUUGGUGUUUACUUGCUGUUUGGGCUGACUUGCUUCUUGUGCGAGUUAGGUUCUGAUUAGAUACCUCAACCUAGGGAUAUUGUGGAUUGCAUGACAACUGUUAGGCUCGAGUCAGUCUCCCUUUUAGUUUGUUAUUCCCCGGUCUCUGGUUAGGAGAGAGUUUCUCCCCUGUUAAGGGGAAUUAUGUCGCCCUGAUUCUC
This 282-nucleotide long non-coding RNA is filed under the name Lathyrus oleraceus (garden pea). RNAcentral describes it as "Pisum sativum (pea) long non-coding RNA (PSAT_LNC026896)". The record is from RNAcentral. Lineage: Eukaryota; Viridiplantae; Streptophyta; Magnoliopsida; Fabales; Fabaceae.